This 823-nucleotide long non-coding RNA is filed under the name Homo sapiens (human). Its description in RNAcentral is "non-protein coding lnc-MPLKIP-14:1". Lineage: Eukaryota; Metazoa; Chordata; Mammalia; Primates; Hominidae. The record is from RNAcentral.
AUGGCACCCUCCAGGAGUCUUGCAGUUCCGCUGGCAGUCCUGGUACUGUUGCUUGGGGGUGCUCCCUGGACCCACAGGCGGCAGAGCAACGUACGCAUCAUCACAGACAAGAACUGGAGAGAGCUGCUGGAAGGAGGCUGGAUGAUACAAUUUUAUGCCCCGUGGUGCCCUGCUUGUCAAAACCAUUAACCGGAAUGGGAAAGUUUUGCUGAAUGGGGAGAAGAUCUGAGGUUAAUGUUGUGAAAGUAGAUGUCACAGAGCAGCCAGGACUGACUGGACAGUUUACAAUAACUGUUCUUCCUACUAUUUAUCAUUGUAAAGAUGGUGAAUUUAGGCAUCCUCAGGGUCCAAGGACUCAGAAGGACUUCAUAAACUUUAUAAGUGAUAAAGAGUGGAAGAGUAUUGAACCCGUUUCAUCAUGGUUUGUUUCAGGUUCUGUUCAGAUGAGUAGUACGUCAGCACUCUUUCAGCUAUCUACGUGGAUCAGGACUUGCCAUAACUACUUUAUUGAAGACAUUGGAUUGCCAGUGUGGGGAUCAUAUGCUGUUUUUCCUUUAGCAACUCUGCAUUCUGGACUGUUACUAGGACUCUGUAUGAUAUUUGUGGCAGGUUGCCUUUGUCCUUCAGAAAGGCACACACCACAGCCAUACCCUUCAAAAAAAUUAUCAGAAUCUGCUCAACCUUUGAAAAAACUGGAGGAAGAACAAGAGGCGGAUAAAGAAGAUGUUUCAGAAGAAGAAGCCAAAAGUAAAGAAGGAACAAAGACUUUCCACAGAAUGCCAUAACACAACACUCUCUGGGUCCAUCACUGGUCACAGAUAAA